GGGAGGCUAGUCUAAACAGGACAACAGAUUUCGGCUCUGUAAGUCUCGGUACACCCCAAGGCCACCAA
This 68-nucleotide transfer RNA is filed under the name Gonatodes albogularis (yellow-headed gecko). RNAcentral's name for it is "tRNA-Arg". The record is from RNAcentral. Lineage: Eukaryota; Metazoa; Chordata; Lepidosauria; Squamata; Sphaerodactylidae.